Molecule: ribosomal RNA, 252 nt
Filed under: uncultured bacterium
Lineage: Bacteria
Description: partial 16S ribosomal RNA
Rfam family: Bacterial small subunit ribosomal RNA
Source: RNAcentral
CACGUAGGGCGCAAGCGUUGUCCGGAAUUAUUGGGCGUAAAGCGUGCGCAGGCGGUUCUCCAAGUCCGUUGUGAAAGCCCCGGGCUCAACCUGGGAAUGGCAGUGGAAACUAGGGGACUUGAAUCUGGCAGAGGGGGGUGGAAUUCCACGUGUAGCAGUGAAAUGCGUAGAGAUGUGGAGGAACACCGAUGGCGAAGGCAGCCCCCUGGGCUGAGAUUGACGCUCAGGCACGAAAGCGUGGGGAGCAAACAG